Molecule: ribosomal RNA, 587 nt
Filed under: uncultured bacterium
Lineage: Bacteria
Description: partial 16S ribosomal RNA
Rfam family: Bacterial small subunit ribosomal RNA
Source: RNAcentral
UGGGGAAUUUUGGACAAUGGGCGAAAGCCUGAUCCAGCAAUGCCGCGUGUGUGAAGAAGGCCUUCGGGUUGUAAAGCACUUUUGUCCGGAAAGAAAUCCUUGGCUCUAAUACAGUCGGGGGAUGACGGUACCGGAAGAAUAAGCACCGGCUAACUACGUGCCAGCAGCCGCGGUAAUACGUAGGGUGCAAGCGUUAAUCGGAAUUACUGGGCGUAAAGCGUGCGCAGGCGGUUUGCUAAGACCGAUGUGAAAUCCCCGGGCUCAACCUGGGAACUGCAUUGGUGACUGGCAGGCUAGAGUAUGGCAGAGGGGGGUAGAAUUCCACGUGUAGCAGUGAAAUGCGUAGAGAUGUGGAGGAAUACCGAUGGCGAAGGCAGCCCCCCUGGGCCAAUACUGACGCUCAUGCACGAAAGCGUGGGGAGCAAACAGGAUUAGAUACCCUGGUAGUCCACGCCCUAAACGAUGUCAACUAGUUGUUGGGGAUUCAUUUCCUUAGUAACGUAGCUAACGCGUGAAGUUGACCGCCUGGGGGAGUACGGUCGCAAGAUUAAAACUUAAAUGAAUUGACGGGGUCAUAGCUGUUUCCU